GGAGAGGUGCCAGAGUGGCCGAUCGGGGCGGUCUCGAAAACCGUUGUGCGUGCGAGCGUACCGUGGGUUCGAAUCCCACCCUCUCCGCCA
This 90-nucleotide transfer RNA is filed under the name Alphaproteobacteria bacterium. Its description in RNAcentral is "tRNA-Ser". It matches the Rfam family "tRNA". Rfam says of the family: Transfer RNA (tRNA) molecules are approximately 80 nucleotides in length. Their secondary structure includes four short double-helical elements and three loops (D, anti-codon, and T loops). Further hydrogen bonds mediate the characteristic L-shaped molecular structure. tRNAs have two regions of fundamental functional importance: the anti-codon, which is responsible for specific mRNA codon recognition, and the 3' end, to which the tRNAs corresponding amino acid is attached (by aminoacyl-tRNA synthetases). tRNAs cope with the degeneracy of the genetic code in two manners: having more than one tRNA (with a specific anti-codon) for a particular amino acid; and 'wobble' base-pairing, i.e. permitting non-standard base-pairing at the 3rd anti-codon position. RNAcentral also lists the same sequence under 2 other names. Lineage: Bacteria; Pseudomonadati; Pseudomonadota; Alphaproteobacteria. The record is from RNAcentral.